ACCUGGAGCUUGUCUGGCUCGGGACGACGCUGGCGGCGUGCCUAAUACAUGUUUGUCGAGCGGAUUGAUGGGAGCUUGCUCCCUGAUAUCAGCGGCGGACGGGUGAGUAACACGUGGGCAACCUGCCUAUAAGACUGGGAUAACUUCGGGAAACCGGAGCUAAUACCGGAUAAUCCCUUUCCUCUCAUGAGGAAAGGCUGAAAGAUGGUUUACGCUAUCACUUAUAGAUGGGCCCGCGGCGCAUUAGCUAGUUGGUGAGGUAACGGCUCACCAAGGCAACGAUGCGUAGCCGACCUGAGAGGGUGAUCGGCCACACUGGGACUGAGACACGGCCCAGACUCCUACGGGAGGCAGCAGUAGGGAAUCUUCCGCAAUGGACGAAAGUCUGACGGAGCAACGCCGCGUGAGUGAUGAANGUUUUCGGAUCGUAAAACUCUGUUGUUAGGGAAGAACAAGUACGAGAGUAACUGCUCGUACCUUGACGGUACCUAACCAGAAAGGCACGG
This 506-nucleotide ribosomal RNA is filed under the name uncultured bacterium. RNAcentral describes it as "bacterial SSU rRNA". It matches the Rfam family "Bacterial small subunit ribosomal RNA", at positions 1 to 496 of the family's 1533-position model. The record is from RNAcentral.